RNAcentral lists this transfer RNA (82 nucleotides) under Danionella translucida. It matches the Rfam family "tRNA". Rfam says of the family: Transfer RNA (tRNA) molecules are approximately 80 nucleotides in length. The record is from Rfam by way of RNAcentral. Lineage: Eukaryota; Metazoa; Chordata; Actinopteri; Cypriniformes; Danionidae. RNAcentral also lists the same sequence under 1 other name.
UGUAGUGUGGCCGAGCGGUCUAAGGCGCUGGAUUAAGGCUCUAGUCUCAAUAGAGGCAUGGGUUCAAAUCCCACCACUGCCA